ACAAGACAAAGUUCUAAUCACAAUUUCAGUUGCUCUUUGCUGCAGCCAAUGGAUGGACAGGCAACAUCUUAACUAACUCCAUGGCAGUGGUUGUUCAAACAAUUUUCUUAAAGCCAAAUAACAACUUGAGCACAUGUACAACGCUACAAGGAGGUAUUCUAUGAUUUCUAUCCCCUGAUUCGUUUGAUAUGCACGUUGUCCUUAAUAAUAAAAAUCCCACAUACAGGAUACAGCUAUUUGUAUACAUUAUAAGUUUUGAUGUUCCACAAGAAGGUAGGAACCAUGAUCACACUUAACUAUUUUCUGUCUCUUCUCUUCCAAUGUUUCCGGCCCAUGAGAAAACCUAAGCAUUUCUCCUUAUAUUUCAUUCUAUCAAUUUCCCCUGUAUUGAAUGCAGCUCCAUUUACUAGAAUGUAUGUUAUACAAUUUCCAUUUCUUUAUACUCUAGUCUGAUGUUUAAACGUGUAUUUCUUUUGAGGGUAAUCACCUCAGAGCAAAGCUUUUGUUUGAGUAACUUCAUCCCCCACCCCAGUUGGUAAAUAGAUUACAAAGCAAGAACCAUCAAAAUAUAAAGCCAUAUUUUAAUGGUCUGAUAAUUUUGAGGUCUUCUGCCAACAAAACACGUCCCAACCCUCUAACACCGCAUAUCUGAGGGUUGGAUUAUUGUUCAAAAAUCAGCUACUUCCAGUGGAGUAGCACUAGGCUAAAAUCGUGAAUCACAGCCCUCGAUGGAUUGAUAUGGCCCCCCACCUUGGGCCACAGCAAUGCAUCGAAGGCCGUGAUUUCACAGUUUUGGAGUGGAGUAGCUGAUUUCUCCUCCAAUUAUUGCUAGUUGAUAACCACAUGAUACGGGCAGAACCAAAGGAUACUGGUUCACGUGAUAUGCUUAUGAUAAGCUCAAUUACAGCGAGCCUCAGAGAGACAGAGCGUACAGUACAGUGAUGACAGAAUCAACUACUGAGCCUGAGUCGAUCAUUUAACAUGGGCCCAACGUUGCCUCAUGAUCGUAUCCGACGGUGCGCGGCAGACAUGCGGAAAGUCCGAAGUAGCAGAGAUCCAUGCCGCCGUUAACGGCCCCAGCAGAAUCCGGUUUUUGAAAUUUGAAAAACAAAAAAGGCCGGGAACGGGAAGCCAAGGAAUAAUAAUGAAUUGAAUAUUAAAAGGCAAUCAUUGAGUUGAGGCCUUUUUGGCACUAAUUCGAUGGAUCAUUGAGUAGGGCCCCGAGCAACCAGCACAAUAAUAGCUGAGAACGUGCAACAGAUGUCACCCGUACACGUGUCCCACAUCUAGCGGUCCAUGUGGGUUUCCUAAUGCUUGUAGUCUGACAACAGUUGUCAGCCAGACUGGCUCUGCCUUUUCUUCUUCUGAGAUUCUCUUUCUCCCCCCCCAACGCUCCUGAAUCCUGAGCCAAACAAGGUAAUUGGCUUCUCCGAGCGAAGCCAGACGUCUCAGACCCUGCGUUGUGUUGUGUGUGUGUAUAUAUUGGGGGAGUCUGGAGAGGAAGGCACAACGAGACGAGACACGGGAAUCAAGUAGAGAGAAUAGUGAAGUAUCAAAAAGAGGAGUAGAGGCAGAGCCAGUUUUAAUAGGGAUUCAAAUGGAAUUGACGAGAGUUUCUUCUGCAACAAUGGCCGUUCUGGCUUUCUUCCUGGUCCUGUUGCUCCCUGCCAUCAACGCUCAGGGUCCUGCUCCUGCUCCUACAAGCGAUGGAAUUGCCAUAGACCAAGGAAUAGCAUAUGUGUUGAUGUUAGCUGCUCUGGUGCUCACCUAUAUCAUGCACUGAGACUGAGCUCAAUAAAGACGGAAAAGGGAUGUAAACAGAACGAUCUGGGUUUAUUUCUUCUAAUGGUUAUAUGAUACAUUGCUAAUUUCUUGUUUUUAUGGAUUCUAGUUCUCAAUUCUUUUUUCCUUCUUCCCUUUCUUUCCACCCAUUUCCCAUUUUUUUCUUGUUUCAUUUCUUUGUUUUCACCACCUCCAUUGUCAAUCUGUAACCUUGUUUGAGAAUUAAUUGGAAUUGAUUUCUGGCUUGGUUGACGGAUCUA
Nelumbo nucifera (sacred lotus) is the source of this 2042-nucleotide non-coding RNA. The record is from RefSeq and is a predicted model, not a curated record. NCBI's taxonomy places the organism in Eukaryota, Viridiplantae, Streptophyta, Magnoliopsida, Proteales, Nelumbonaceae.